AGAGGGCAAAACAAAGACCAGCUGGUAGAAUCCACUAGGAGGCAACUAAAGGUGCAAAGGGAAGAUGCAUGUCUGAGUGUCAAGCCAGCUGGUGCCGAGAGAACUACCCAGGAAGGCCAGGUACAGGUAAUGAGAAGGAAAGCAGUGCGACUGAUUGCAGCAUAGAGCAAGGUAGACUCCAGGAGCACCUCUGGCUUUAGGAGUGGCUGCAGCAGCACCAACCUUCACAUCCUCUCCGUUGAAAUUCCACAGGAAAGAUCAAGUAAGUUUUGUUUGUUCUUCCAUUUCCAGAAAAAGUUUUAACGUAACUCAUUGGCUCUUACAAGUCAUGGGGCAUCCCUGAACGAAGGGAACUUGGGUGAACCAUCCCUGAGUCUACACAUCUGCCAUUCGCCAGGGCUACCGGGGACACUGUCUAAACCAGGCUUCUUGGCUCCACCUCUGAGAUUCUUACUAGAUCUGGACUGGAGAAUGAGAACCCCAGGGAUUCUACUGGCUUCCUGCUCUUGCCAAUUCUCAGAUGGGCUCUACACAACCAUGGUGGCGGAGACCAGGAUCGAGAACCAGAGUGACGAGCAUGUCUCGAGGGGGCAGCAGUGCACUGGAGUCGGCCCGAGUCAGCCUGAACUGAGGGGGAAGGUUCAGAAAUUUUGUCAGCCCAUUGUUUACCACAGGCGUUAUUAAAUAUUAUUAUGUUAACUUGUGAUGAGAUAAAUUACAUUAAAAACAAAGGGA
This is a long non-coding RNA of Chinchilla lanigera (long-tailed chinchilla), 735 nucleotides long. RefSeq lists it as uncharacterized. Lineage: Eukaryota; Metazoa; Chordata; Mammalia; Rodentia; Chinchillidae. The record is from RefSeq and is a predicted model, not a curated record. The transcript has 3 exons.